This 97-nucleotide signal recognition particle RNA is filed under the name Lentisphaerota bacterium. RNAcentral's name for it is "Bacterial small signal recognition particle RNA". It matches the Rfam family "Bacterial small signal recognition particle RNA". From Rfam's summary of the family: The signal recognition particle (SRP) is a universally conserved ribonucleoprotein involved in the co-translational targeting of proteins to membranes. Archaeal SRP consists of a 7S RNA and homologues of the eukaryotic SRP19 and SRP54 proteins. RNAcentral also lists the same sequence under 1 other name. The record is from Rfam by way of RNAcentral. Lineage: Bacteria; Pseudomonadati; Lentisphaerota.
GACCGGACCCUAUGCGCUGGCUUCGUGCUAACCGAGUCAGGUGGGGAACCAAGCAGCUCUAUGCAAUGAACCAGGUGCUGUAGGUAAUCUGUUCCGG